CCUACGGGUGGCAGCAGUGAGGAAUAUUGGUCAAUGGGCGCGAGCCUGAACCAGCCAAGUCGCGUGAGGGAUGACGGUCCUACGGAUUGUAAACCUCUUUUGCCGGGGAGCAAGCGUGCGUUCGUGAACGCUCGUCGAGAGUACCCGGAGAAAACGCAUCGGCUAACUCCGUGCCACCGGCCGCGGUAAUACGGAGGAUGCGAGCGUUACCCGGUUUUAUUGGGUUUAAGGGGUGCGUAAGCGGUAGUCAAAGUCAGCGUUAAAAAUGCCGUCCUAAACGCAGUCGUGCCGUUGAAACUGGCAGUCUUGAGUGGGCGAGAGGUAUGCGGAAUGCGUGGUGUAGCGGUGAAACGCAUAGAUAUCACGAAGAACUCCGAUUGCGAAGGCAGCAUACC
RNAcentral lists this ribosomal RNA (395 nucleotides) under uncultured bacterium. RNAcentral describes it as "partial 16S ribosomal RNA". It matches the Rfam family "Bacterial small subunit ribosomal RNA", at positions 338 to 730 of the family's 1533-position model. The record is from RNAcentral.